AUGCAAGUCGAACGAGAAAGUGGAGCAAUCCAUGAGUAAAGUGGCGACCGGGUGAGUAACACGUGACUAACCUACCCUCGAGUGGGGAAUAACCUCGGGAAACCGGGGCUAAUACCGCAUAACAUCUUCGGAUCAAAGGAGCAAUCCGCUGGAGGAGGGGGUCGCGGCCGAUUAGCUAGUUGGCGGGGUAACGGCCCACCAAGGCCAUGAUCGGUAGCCGGCCUGAGAGGGCGCACGGCCACACUGGAACUGAAACACGGUCCAGACUCCUACGGGAGGCAGCAGUGGGGAAUUUUGCGCAAUGGGGGAAACCCUGACGCAGCAACGCCGCGUGGAGGAUGAAGCCCCUUGGGGUGUAAACUCCUUUCGAUCGGGACGAUUAUGACGGUACCGGAUGAAGAAGCACCGGCUAACUCUGUGCCAGCAGUCGCGGUAAUACAGAGGGUGCAAGCGUUGUUCGGAAUUAUUGGGC
This 472-nucleotide ribosomal RNA is filed under the name uncultured bacterium. Its description in RNAcentral is "bacterial SSU rRNA". It matches the Rfam family "Bacterial small subunit ribosomal RNA", at positions 55 to 559 of the family's 1533-position model. The record is from RNAcentral.